GGGCACAGUCAUGCUACAAUAGAAAAUGUGGUCUUCUCCAAACUGUACCCACAAAGUUAGAAGCAUAUCAUUGUCCACAAUGUCUUGGUAUGCUGAAACAUUAAAAUUUCCCUUCUCUGGAAGUAACAAGUCUAGCCCAACAGCUGAAAAACAGCCCCAUACCGCUCCCCCUCCUCAACCAAGCUUUACAGUUGGCACAAUGCAGUCAGGUA
Molecule: non-coding RNA, 212 nt
Organism: Pelobates cultripes (western spadefoot toad)
Lineage: Eukaryota; Metazoa; Chordata; Amphibia; Anura; Pelobatidae
Source: the annotation of a GenBank genome assembly